CGCGGGGUGGAGCAAUUGGCAGCUCGUCGGGCUCAUAACCCGGAGGUUGGAGGUUCGAGUCCUCCCCCCGCAACCA
This 76-nucleotide transfer RNA is filed under the name Eubacteriaceae bacterium. Its description in RNAcentral is "tRNA-Met". It matches the Rfam family "tRNA". Rfam says of the family: Transfer RNA (tRNA) molecules are approximately 80 nucleotides in length. Their secondary structure includes four short double-helical elements and three loops (D, anti-codon, and T loops). The record is from RNAcentral. Lineage: Bacteria; Bacillati; Bacillota; Clostridia; Eubacteriales; Eubacteriaceae.